UUCCCUACGGGAGGCAGCAGUGGGGGAUAUUGCACAAUGGGGGGAACCCUGAUGCAGCGACGCCGCGUGGGUGAAGAAGCGCCUCGGCGCGUAAAGCCCUGUCAGCAGGGAAGAAAAUGACGGUACCUGAAGAAGAAGCCCCGGCUAACUACGUGCCAGCAGCCGCGGUAAUACGUAGGUGGCGAGCGUUAUCCGGAAUGAUUGGGCGUAAAGGGUGCGCAGGCGGUCCUGCAAGUCUGGAGUGAAACGCAUGAGCUCAACUCAUGCAUGGCUUUGGAAACUGGAGGACUGGAGAGCAGGAGAGG
Molecule: ribosomal RNA, 305 nt
Filed under: uncultured bacterium
Lineage: Bacteria
Description: bacterial SSU rRNA
Rfam family: Bacterial small subunit ribosomal RNA
Source: RNAcentral